CCUACGGGAGGCAGCAGUAGGGAAUAUUGCUCAAUGGGGGAAACCCUGAAGCAGCAACGCCGCGUGAGGGAAGAAGGAUUUAGGAAUGUAAAGCUCUAUCAGCAGAGAAGAAAAUGACGGUACCUGACGAAGAAGCACCGGCUAACUACGUGCCAGCAGCCGCGGUAAUACGGAGGGGGCAAGCGUUAUUCGGAAUGACUGGGUGUAAAGGGAGCGUAGGCGGGUAUGUAAGUCAGGUGUGAAAUCCUGUGGCCUAACCCCGGGACUGCUUUUGAAACUGUGUACCUGGAGUGCAGGAGAGGUAGGCGGAAUUCUUGGUGUAGGGGUGAAAUGCGUAGAUAUCAGGAGGAACAC
This 354-nucleotide ribosomal RNA is filed under the name uncultured bacterium. RNAcentral's name for it is "partial 16S ribosomal RNA". It matches the Rfam family "Bacterial small subunit ribosomal RNA", at positions 338 to 709 of the family's 1533-position model. The record is from RNAcentral.